CCUACGGGGGGCAGCAGUGGGGAAUAUUGGACAAUGGGCGCAAGCCUGACCCAGCAACGCCGCGUGAAGGAAGAAGGCUUUCGGGUUGUAAACUUCUUUUGUCAGGGAAGAAUAGAAGACGGUACCUGACGAAUAACCCACGGCUAACUACGUGCCAGCAGCCGCGGUAAUACGUAGGUGGCAAGCGUUGUCCGGAUUUACUGGGUGUAAAGGGCGUGUAGCCGGGUUGACAAGUCAGAUGUGAAAUCCUGCGGCUUAACCGAAGAACUGCAUUUGAAACUGUUGAUCUUGAGUACUGGAGAGGCCGAUGGAAUUCCUAGUGUAGCGGUGAAAUGCGUAGAUAUUAGGAGGAACACCAGUGGCGAAGGCGGUCUGCUGGACAGCAACUGACGGUGAGGCGCGAAAGCGUGGGGAGCAAACAGGAUUAGAUACCCGGGUAGUC
RNAcentral lists this ribosomal RNA (442 nucleotides) under uncultured bacterium. RNAcentral describes it as "partial 16S ribosomal RNA". It matches the Rfam family "Bacterial small subunit ribosomal RNA", at positions 338 to 795 of the family's 1533-position model. The record is from RNAcentral.